Long non-coding RNA from Dermochelys coriacea (leatherback sea turtle), 169 nucleotides. RefSeq lists it as uncharacterized. NCBI's taxonomy places the organism in Eukaryota, Metazoa, Chordata, Testudines, Dermochelyidae. The record is from RefSeq and is a predicted model, not a curated record. The transcript has 3 exons.
AAAAAAACUUUUGAAGAAAUAAUCAAGAUGGCCCAUUUAGACAGUUGACAAGAAGGUGUGAGGAUACUUAACAUGGGGAAAUAGAUUCAAUCUGUGUAAUGACGCAGCCACUCCCAGUCUCUAUUCAAACUCAAGUUAAUGGCAUCUAGUUUGCAUAUGAAUUCAAACU